Molecule: long non-coding RNA, 657 nt
Filed under: Oryctolagus cuniculus (rabbit)
Lineage: Eukaryota; Metazoa; Chordata; Mammalia; Lagomorpha; Leporidae
Description: lncRNA (ENSOCUG00000038178.1)
Source: RNAcentral
GUGGCACCAAGGCCUUGCGCGGCCCAACGCACAAGGGGGGGACGGCGCGGCCCUCGCCCUGGGCCCCGGGUGCCACCAGGUUUUCCCUUGGUCGGGAUUUCUUUUGUGGGCCUAGGCAGGGCAGGCGCCCCAUGCUGUCUCCGCACUGACCUAGGCACCCACCCCACAUGAGGGCACCCACCCACAUGAGGCGUCGGGAGGUGUGGGGCCCGGGAGAACAUUGCUCUGCCUGGUUUCCUAGGCGGAGGCAGGUGUGUUGUCGGCAAAGACCCUCACUCAGGCCAAGUGUGUGAUGUCUCUUCUUCUUCCGCAGACGCCGAGCCCGGCACCCGGGAACCUGUUCCGGACGUGCCGCUCCCAACCAUGACUCCCAGCACCGAGGCUGACCACGACCACGACCACGACCACGACCACGACCACGACGCCGAGCCCGGCACCCGGGAACCUGUUCCGGACGUGCCGCUCCCAACCAUGACUCCCAGCACCGAGGCUGACCACGACCAUGACCACGACCACGACCACGACCACGACCACGACCACGACCACGGUAGGGGCCCGUGUGCCUUGUGUCCUCUGCCCCUGGGAGCCCGCUGGGCUGCCGGGGCUCCUUGAGCGAGAAAUGACAUUUCUAUUGGAUCCGGGAACGUAGAGGCGGUG